This 372-nucleotide ribosomal RNA is filed under the name uncultured eukaryote. RNAcentral describes it as "bacterial SSU rRNA". It matches the Rfam family "Eukaryotic small subunit ribosomal RNA", at positions 592 to 1074 of the family's 1831-position model. The record is from RNAcentral.
CAAUAGCGUAUAUUAAAGUUGUUGCAGUUAAAAAGCUCGUAGUUGGAUUUCGGAUUGUGGUUACGGGUCGGCUCGCAAGAGUGUGCACCUGUGAUUGUGGUCUUUAUCUACGGAGGGUGAUGUCAGCGAUUAGGUUCGGUGGUGUCGUAUGCGCUCCGUUCGUUUACUUUGAACAAAUUAGAGUGUUUAAAGCAGGCUUUUGCCUUGAAUACAUUAGCAUGGAAUAAUGGAAUAGGACUUGCGUUUCUAUUUCGUUGGUUUCUAGGACCGAGAUAUGUAAUUAAGGUACGGGAUUAGGGGGUUCGGGGGACUUACUUACUAAUUUACCUUUAAAAUUUGGUUCCAAGGAAGGGGUUGAAAAUUUCCUUUAGG